RNAcentral lists this ribosomal RNA (450 nucleotides) under uncultured bacterium. RNAcentral's name for it is "bacterial SSU rRNA". It matches the Rfam family "Bacterial small subunit ribosomal RNA", at positions 354 to 796 of the family's 1533-position model. The record is from RNAcentral.
GUAGGGAAUCUUCCACAAUGGGCGCAAGCCUGAUGGAGCAACACCGCGUGAGUGAAGAAGGGUUUCGGCUCGUAAAGCUCUGUUGUUAAAGAAGAACACGUAUGAGAGUAACUGUUCAUACGUUGACGGUAUUUAACCAGAAAGUCACGGCUAACUACGUGCCAGCAGCCGCGGUAAUACGUAGGUGGCAAGCGUUAUCCGGAUUUAUUGGGCGUAAAGAGAGUGCAGGCGGUUUUCUAAGUCUGAUGUGAAAGCCUUCGGCUUAACCGGAGAAGUGCAUCGGAAACUGGAUAACUUGAGUGCAGAAGAGGGUAGUGGAACUCCAUGUGUAGCGGUGGAAUGCGUAGAUAUAUGGAAGAACACCAGUGGCGAAGGCGGCUACCUGGUCUGCAACUGACGCUGAGACUCGAAAGCAUGGGUAGCGAACAGGAUUAGAAACCCUAGUAGUCC